Molecule: ribosomal RNA, 447 nt
Filed under: uncultured bacterium
Lineage: Bacteria
Description: partial 16S ribosomal RNA
Rfam family: Bacterial small subunit ribosomal RNA
Source: RNAcentral
AGCGAACGCUGGCGGCAGGCCUAAUACAUGCAAGUCGAACGCACCUUCGGGUGAGUGGCGGACGGGUGAGUAACGCGUGGGAACGUGCCCUUUGGUACGGAACAACUGAGGGAAACUUCAGCUAAUACCGUAUGUGCCCUUCGGGGGAAAGGUUUAUAGACAUUGGAGCGGCGCGCGUUGGAUUAGCAAGUUGGUGGGGUAAAGUCCCACAAAGGCUACGACCUAUAGCUGGUGGUAGAGGAUGAUCAGACACACUGGGACUGAGACACAGCCCAGACUCCUACGGGAGGCAGCAGUAGGGAAUCUUGCGCAAUGGGCGAAAGCCUGACGCAGCCAUGCCGCGUGAAUGAUGAAGGUCUUAGGAUUGUAAAAUUCUUUCACCGGGGAAGAUAAUGACGGUACCCGGAGAAGAAGCCCCGGCUAACUGCGUGCCAGCAGCCGCAGUAA